RNAcentral lists this transfer RNA (65 nucleotides) under unidentified. RNAcentral's name for it is "Cteniopinus hypocrita tRNA-Ile". The record is from RNAcentral.
AACGAAGUGCCUGAAAAAAAGGAUUAUUUUGAUAGAAUAAAUCAUGUAUCACAUACCCUCGUUAC